RNAcentral lists this ribosomal RNA (429 nucleotides) under Gemmatimonadota bacterium. Its description in RNAcentral is "Gemmatimonadetes bacterium partial 16S ribosomal RNA". It matches the Rfam family "Bacterial small subunit ribosomal RNA", at positions 355 to 776 of the family's 1533-position model. Lineage: Bacteria; Pseudomonadati; Gemmatimonadota. The record is from RNAcentral.
UAGGGAAUCUUCGGCAAUGGACGAAAGUCUGACCGAGCAACGCCGCGUGAGUGAAGAAGGUUUUCGGAUCGUAAAACUCUGUUGUUAGAGAAGAACAAGGACGUUAGUAACUGAACGUCCCCUGACGGUAUCUAACCAGAAAGCCACGGCUAACUACGUGCCAGCAGCCGCGGUAAUACGUAGGUGGCAAGCGUUGUCCGGAUUUAUUGGGCGUAAAGCGAGCGCAGGCGGUUUCUUAAGUCUGAUGUGAAAGCCCCCGGCUCAACCGGGGAUGGUCAAUGGAAGCUGGGAGACUUUAGUGCAGAAGAGGAGAGUGGAAUUCCAUGUGUAGCGGUGAAAUGCGUAGAUAUAAGGAGGAACACCAGUGGCGAAGGCGGCUCUCUGGUCUGUAACUGACGCUGAGGCUCGAAAGCGUGGGGAGCAAACAGG